RNAcentral lists this ribosomal RNA (430 nucleotides) under uncultured Bradyrhizobium sp. Its description in RNAcentral is "bacterial SSU rRNA". It matches the Rfam family "Bacterial small subunit ribosomal RNA", at positions 1 to 464 of the family's 1533-position model. The record is from RNAcentral. Lineage: Bacteria; Pseudomonadati; Pseudomonadota; Alphaproteobacteria; Hyphomicrobiales; Nitrobacteraceae.
UAUGUUUGAUCCUGGCUCAGRGCGAACGCUGGCGGCAGGCUUAACACAUGCAAGUCGAGCGGGCAUAGCAAUAUGUCAGCGGCAGACGGGUGAGUAACGCGUGGGAACGUACCUUUUGGUUCGGAACAACUGAGGGAAACUUCAGCUAAUACCGGAUAAGCCCUUACGGGGAAAGAUUUAUCGCCGAAAGAUCGGCCCGCGUCUGAUUAGCUAGUUGGUGAGGUAAUGGCUCACCAAGGCGACGAUCAGUAGCUGGUCUGAGAGGAUGAUCAGCCACAUUGGGACUGAGACACGGCCCAAACUCCUACGGGAGGCAGCAGUGGGGAAUAUUGGACAAUGGGCGCAAGCCUGAUCCAGCCAUGCCGCGUGAGUGAUGAAGGCCCUAGGGUUGUAAAGCUCUUUUGUGCGGGAAGAUAAUGACGKACCGCAG